This 486-nucleotide unclassified non-coding RNA is filed under the name uncultured fungus. Its description in RNAcentral is "partial contains small subunit ribosomal RNA, internal transcribed spacer 1, and 5.8S ribosomal RNA". The stretch from base 1 to 73 matches the Rfam family "Eukaryotic small subunit ribosomal RNA", at positions 1759 to 1831 of the family's 1831-position model. Lineage: Eukaryota; Fungi. The record is from RNAcentral.
GCAAACUUGGUCAUUUAGAGGAAGUAAAAGUCGUAACAAGGUAACCGUAGGUGAACCUGCGGUUGGAUCAUUAACUAGAAGUGACUGGAAUUCAGGACUGCGAUUAGCAGGACUGAAUGGAAUGUCACUUUAAAAAUCUGGUGGGAGGGAUUCUCUGUUUUGUUCAUUAGGGUUAAUAACCCUUGUUUAUGAAAAUAGGCGAAUCACUCUCACUUUACACACCAAAGCCUAGUGUCAUUCUCUGGUAUCAUUCUCUGAUACUGGAAAAUGGGACUAGGAUUAAUCGUGAACAGUUUCCUAUUCGUGGUUGGAGUGAGUAUUCACUCCUGCUACCUACUAAACACUUAUCAUUCCGUAUGCGAUUAGUUUUAUUUGUGAGACUCUUGAAUGGACUUCGUCCACCCAAGAUCCCCCCACAAACCUUAGAAAUCUAAUACAACUUUUGACAAUGGAUCUCUAGGCUCUUGCAUCGAUGAAGAACGCAGC